CUUGACGAACUAUAAGAGGUCUAGCCUGCCCAGUGAUAAAUUUAACGGCCGCGGUAUCCUAACCGUGCGAAGGUAGCAUAAUCACUUGUUCUUUAAAUAGGGACUCGUAUCAACGGCAUCACGAGGGUUACACUGUCUCCUCCCUCCAAUCAGUGAAACUGAUCUCCCCGUGAAGAAGCGGGGAUGAACUAAUAAGACGAGAAGACCCCAUGGAGCUUUAAACCUCACAGCAACUCUAAUAUUUAACUCCUCAUAAUUUACAGGGCAGUGCACGUCGGUUUUAGGUUGGGGCGACCGCGGAGUAAAAAUUACCCUCCACAACGAAAAGAACUAAAUCUUUAUUCAAGAGCAACUACUCUAAAAAUUAGCAUACUAACGAACAAUGAUCCGAUUAUCGAUCAACGGACCA
Molecule: ribosomal RNA, 409 nt
Filed under: Rhacophorus rhodopus
Lineage: Eukaryota; Metazoa; Chordata; Amphibia; Anura; Rhacophoridae
Description: partial 16S ribosomal RNA
Rfam family: Bacterial large subunit ribosomal RNA
Source: RNAcentral